GUAUUCUUAGCUCAGUUGGUUAGAGCAGACGGCUCAUAACCGUCCGGUCGUAGGUUCGAAACCUACAGACA
RNAcentral lists this transfer RNA (71 nucleotides) under Enterococcus faecium. RNAcentral describes it as "tRNA-Met". It matches the Rfam family "tRNA". Rfam says of the family: Transfer RNA (tRNA) molecules are approximately 80 nucleotides in length. Their secondary structure includes four short double-helical elements and three loops (D, anti-codon, and T loops). Lineage: Bacteria; Bacillati; Bacillota; Bacilli; Lactobacillales; Enterococcaceae. The record is from RNAcentral.